This 4354-nucleotide unclassified non-coding RNA is filed under the name Leishmania donovani. RNAcentral describes it as "gene:LdHU3.31.4680(CDS-product:hypothetical_prote in_conserved)". The record is from RNAcentral. Lineage: Eukaryota; Euglenozoa; Kinetoplastea; Trypanosomatida; Trypanosomatidae.
CGCACACGGUACCGCUUGCGCGUACAUCUGCCGCCUCUUUUUCAGUCGUUUUUUUUUUUCUGGGUUUUGGUUGCCGCGGUGCUUGGCUCGCAGGAGGGGAAUACGCCGUGAGCACCCCUUCCCCUCGGGUCGGAGCCUUCGGACCCUCCAUGACUCAUCCGUAGCUGCGUCAUCGCCUCUUCCAUAUUGGGGAGCCACUCGACAUCCUGCUGGUUUCACUCACAGCACUUGCUCCCUUCCGCUGCACCCCCGCCACCUCCGAUUCCGAUCAACGCAUAUCGAUUCUCCUCUUGCCCCCCCCACCUCCCGCCUCUCUCAAGAUGUUCUAUACGUACGCAGAGAAGCAGGGCAGCGUCUUCUUCGACAGCUGGCAGAUGCGGCAAAUCGCCUUUGACACGCUGCGCCGUCACCUGUACUACUCCGACUGCGUCAGCCCAGAAAAGAUCGCCUACCCCAAUGCCAACGAUAACCCGUUUCCCACUAUCGGCGCUUCGGAUGACUCCUUCGAGGAUGGGGAGGACUUCGACCCCGGUCUUGGCACCACUGUCGAGAACCCUGCGGUUUCUCAGCUGAUCCUGCGUCCACCGGUGUCCCCAGUGAACCAGCGGCGUCACUUCAAUGAGGCGCCGCCGCCACCCAACAAUCCGGAUGAUGUGCAGUGGCGAAAGAAGAUCAAGGUGGACAUGAUCGUGGCAGUUGGCAAGGAACAUGUGUUUCUGCUGGAGGACACACACCUCAAGGAGACAGACCUGUUUCAGAUCGAAAUCCACGGAGAGGUACGGCCAAUGGCAUCUGGCGAGACACCCGCCCCCGGUCCUCUGCUGUGCCCGUCCGCCGGGCUGUCCGGAAUGCCGAAUCGAUGCACCGUGGAGAAUGACGAGUUCAUUCGUGACCCGUUCUUCUUACGUGAGCUCUAUGAGGCGCUACGGUACCAGUUCUCGAAUCUGCGGAUGGAGAGAGAGCGUGCGGAGCUGGCCGCUGGCCAGCCGGUGGUGUCGGCGAAUGCGCGCAAGACGCAGACGCUGGAGUCGCCGCGGCCAAAGGGUGGUUCCGUGUACCGCGGCAGUCGCAUCAAGAUAGUCCUGCGCAUGCGCACAGACUACGAGUUCCGCCGUUUUGUCUACGUCGUGCAAACCGUGCUCGGGUACGAUAAGCUGAGUGCUCGACCGUAUCGCGGUCUCCCGCCCUACGACCCGCGGAACGGCCUCAUCUUUUCCGUGAUCCCGAUGUGCGUCUGGCAUACCUUUAAGUUACUCGACAAGACGGUGUUCUACACCUUCCUGCGCGGCGACUUGGUCGGCCGCAGCGCCGGCAAUCAGCUGUAUGUGACACUGCGCGGCGCCUAUCUCUGUAUCACCCACGACAGCGUCCUUGUGAUGCGCGACACCGGCAACAUCCCGCGGUGGAUCAAGCUGCAGGAGGUGCGCGAGUUUUAUUACAACGUGACGGGCAGCCGCCCGUUUGUUGCCUUCCUCUCCGAUCCCGGAUCCCCCGACAUCAUCUUUCUACCGCAGCCGCCCGUCUUCGGCCCCGAGGCGAUACGCCGCUUCAGCCCGUCGCUGGAGGUACUGCGGAUGCGCCACGUCAUUCACGAGACGUGCUUUGCCUCGCUCGAGAUUCGGCGAGUCAUCAACAUUAAGAUUGCCGACAUGUCCGUGCGCAGCUUCGUGGAGUGCUACGAGCGGGAGACGCGGCGCGUUCUCGACCUAGACGCCGCGCGGUGCUACGCCGGGGUUCUAAGCUGUCCGCUGCCGAAGGAGCAGCUUGCGCAGGUGUGGCGGGAAGUCCAGGGCAUCUACGCCGCGCGCGACCCCAGUGUCAUUAGUCACGCGGCCAUUCCGCUCUAUCAGAACAACACGAACGACACCGCGCUCACACGCGAUCAGCUUGAGACCUUGUCUAGGCGCCUCGCUCGCGAGAGAGCGAGCAGGGACGACAUUGUGGGGAUGCCGUACGAGGAGGCGCAACGCAUCCAAGCACCAGCGCGACGGGACAGUCGUCUUCACAGCCGUCACCACCUGACGCCAUUGCAGUUGCAUGAAACCACUGCCACGCAGCCCGCCAGUGAUGCCACAUCGGUUCACUUGGACCCUCAAUCAAGCCAUUCUUCGGCCAGUCCCGGCCGCGGCGAGACUCUAGCAGCGACGUCAAGCCACCCACGCGGCAUCCAGAUGACGACCGUAGCGAACCUGGAGCACGCCCAUGACCAACGCAGCGCGGGCCAUGAUAGCGCGUACGACGGAUCAGCCGGGUCGCAGCUCGAAGGUUCUGCAGUAUCCGCCACGUCAUCACCCCGGCGGCCGAUAUUGCUUAGCGCGGCACCUCCCAAUGCAUCUUCGUGGACGGCGGCGGACGCCUCCGCAGGCGGGAAUACGCACCGUCUCUCUGACGUGAGUGCACCCAACCUCUCAGGCGACGCCGCGAUGUCAAGCGGCGUAGACAACGCGUUCACCCAAACGAACCCACGCCUUACACAACUACCGAACCACCGCUUGGGGACACCGCAACUAUCCUCCAGCGUCGGCGGGGGCGCCGCCGGCUUCGGCGCGUCACCGGGGUUUGUAAAUGCUAGCUUCGCGAGCAGCCAGUUUGGCGGCAACAGUGUGCAGUACCAGAUUCCAGGAGCGCGCUACCUGAGCGAGGAUGAGAUAAAGGGUGGCAGCUCCUGUGUUGCGGUGGAUCAUCACACAGUGUUGAUGGGCGAGACCCCGCUCGUCGCCGAGGGCACCGUUACUGCCUUGCUCUCCAGUACGGAGCUGAACGUGUCAGAGAUUGUCAACAAGAGCAUCACGGCGAUGCAGGCGACGGCGCCGCCGCCCCCCAAGCGGUCCAACUCUGCCGAGCCGUCGAAGGACACCCGCAAAGGGAGUGAGGGCAAAGCCGCUUCUGCGGCCCUCGCCUCCCCACGGACACGAGCCGGCAGGCCCACCUCAGAGAGCAUCAAAAACGACGACUCCUCCGUCGAAACGUAAAGAAAGGGGAGGAGCCUGUCCGCCGCGGGCAUACAUGCGGGCGUUGGGUCGUGCAGGAUUCGAAACGUAGGCAAGCGCCGCGGCUGCGAGCGUCUAUACCUGUGAAGUAUGAGCCAGCGCUUGAUAUCGACGGCCGUUAGCUUGCUGAAUGCGUUUUCUUUUCCAACUUUCUCGUAACAAACUUCUUCCAGCGGAAUUUUCGCUUUUUUCUCGUUCUCGGCGCCUCAUCCUCACAUGCCGACGAAUCGGUGCUGUCCUCAUCAAGUGUUGUGCUCGGACAUAACACCUAUAUAUUUAUAUGUAUAACUGAGAUGUAGGGUGAGGGCCGGUGUGCGGCUGUUCUGUGUAUUGUCUCUCUCUCUCUCCGUCUCUGUGUGUGCAUGUCUCUUUUUCGUUUCUUCCGGAUUCCUUGCUUCGCCUCUGCUGUGCCUUGUAAUGUGUACUGUUGUAGGUGAUCCGCCACUGGCGAGGAAGGGUGCAGUGAACGCACCGGUGCUUAGGCGUCGCGUUAAUCUCUUUGACCGGUGGCGUGGCUGACACCUGCUCUUGCCUCCCUCUGUACUGUUUGUGGAUGUGCGGACGUGCUGUCAUUGCUUGCGUUUUAGUACGCUAAUCCUCUCUUUCUUCUGUGUGUGUGCGUGUGUGUGCGUGCUCUCUUCGAUGUACGUGCUUCGCGGUUUUGGCGGGAGGUCGCUGUGCUCACUUCUCGCAUGUGCGUUACGCCCCUCUAUAGAGUCUCUCUUCUUAUGAAGGGAGAGAGGCGAUACGUGCUUCGGCUGUGCCGAUUAGAGCGGGAGGCGCUGCGGCGAAGAGGGAAGGAAAUGCAAGUCACGAAUCACUUUGGGUGCACAUGCGUUCGUGGAACAGCAUGCACUUGCUUCGGCUCCGCCUCCUCUGCGUGACGGCAGCGACGGGGAGGGGGCUCCCUCUCUACAGCAUUUCUCUUGAUCGGCGCGGAAUCACUUGCUAUUGUUUUUGUCUUGUGCCGCUGCCCAUUUUCCCUGCUGUGCUGCACAACGUGCGUAUGCCAUGGCUUGGUGGUGAUCGUAUUUCGUGUCGCUUACCGCCCCUCCCACCACCACCCCACCCACUUUCUGUUGUCCAUUGCUGUUUCUCACUACCGGAGCUGCUGUGCUCUUUUCUUCGUUUUGUGUGUGACUCUCUCUGUUCCGCCGUGUUGCCGGGUCACCCGCCUCUUCACCCUCUCCUCCCCUCCCUCCCUCCACCCUCCCUUUUCUCUGUUGUCCGCUCGCGUUUCCCUCAGUGGUUACCCCCUCACCUCCUACCCCCACGCCGUUUGCGUGGCUGGCCUUUAGCCGAGGAUCCACUUCGGCCCGUCUUUCUGAGCGUGUUCAGCGUCUGCGCAACAGCGCCAUGCUGCC